GACGAACGCUGGCGGCGUGCUUAACACAUGCAAGUCGAACGGUAAGGCCCUUCGGGGUACACGAGUGGCGAACGGGUGAGUAACACGUGGGUGAUCUGCCCUGCACUUCGGGAUAAGCCUGGGAAACUGGGUCUAAUACCGGAUAGGACUCCGGACUGCAUGGUCUGGGGUGGAAAGCUUUUGCGGGGUGGGAUGGGCCCGCGGCCUAUCAGCUUGUUGGUGGGGUGAUGGCCUACCAAGGCGACGACGGGUAGCCGGCCUGAGAGGGUGACCGGCCACACUGGGACUGAGAUACGGCCCAGACUCCUACGGGAGGCAGCAGUGGGGAAUACUGCACAAUGGGCGCAAGCCUGAUGCAGCGACGCCGCGUGAGGGAUGACGGCCUUCGGGUUGUAAACCUCUUUCAGCAUCGACGAAGCGAAAGUGACGGUAGGUGCAGAAGAAGGACCGGCCAACUACGUGCCAGCAGCCGCCGUAA
This 478-nucleotide ribosomal RNA is filed under the name uncultured bacterium. Its description in RNAcentral is "partial 16S ribosomal RNA". It matches the Rfam family "Bacterial small subunit ribosomal RNA", at positions 28 to 523 of the family's 1533-position model. The record is from RNAcentral.